UUAUAAUUACUUAAGUCGUGGAUUAUUUCCGGCUUGUGAGGAGAAUUAAAUCUACGGAUUUAAUUUAGAUUUAUUUUACAGUCCAUCGAUGCUAGCAAGCAAGAAAUCAAAUAUCGUGCGAGUAUAUAUAUAUACGCUACAUUAGUAAGAAUUCAAGAUUAGUAUUUCAUUAAGCGCGUUACUGUACUACAAGUUUAUAAUUCCCAAGAGGCAAGAGCUGUACUUCAGCCAUAUCCCACAUUACUACACAUCAAAUGCAACACCAUUCCUUGUUUAAUACCAUCAGCCGACAAGGAAUCAAUAAAGGAAAAUCAUUAAAGCAAUAAAGGAAAAUCAUUAAGGUUAGUGGAAAGAAAUAAGUGUGCUGCCACCAUCCUUUGUUCCCCACCUCUUCAACCACCAAAAGCCAUGCUUUCUCUCCCUCUACAGCCACCAACUUCACUCCUUAUUAUAUCACCCACCAAAUCCUUUUCUCUUUACGCAUCAACAGCUUGAGGAAGUUGUCAUAAUUGCUGCAAGAUUCGAGAGCUAUCUUCUCAUUGAACUCAACAUCACCGCAGCCAACCAAAAGCACAAACAUUCAAGGUCGAGCGCAAGAAUAAGAGCUCGUCAAGGAGUCACUAAUCUGUAGCAAAGCUUUGCUAUCAGGUGGGUUACUUUCAUAUAUAUC
Long non-coding RNA from Salvia miltiorrhiza (redroot sage), 670 nucleotides. RefSeq lists it as uncharacterized. The transcript has 3 exons. The record is from RefSeq and is a predicted model, not a curated record. NCBI's taxonomy places the organism in Eukaryota, Viridiplantae, Streptophyta, Magnoliopsida, Lamiales, Lamiaceae.